AACUAACGCUGGCGGCGUGCCUAACACAUGCAAGUCGUACGAGAAAGCCGGCUUCGGCUGGUGAGUAAAGUGGCGCACGGGUGAGUAAUGCGUGGAUAAUCUGCCCUUUAGUUGGGAAUAACGUACCGAAAGGUGCGCUAAUACCUGAUAAUACUGCAUAACUACUGUUGUGUAGUCAAAGAAGGCCUCUGUUUACAAGCUUUUGCUGAAGGAUGAGUCCGCGUACCAUUAGCUGGUUGGUGGGGUAAUGGCCUACCAAGGCUACGAUGGUUAGCUGGUCUGAGAGGAUGAUCAGCCACACUGGAACUGAGACACGGUCCAGACUCCUACGGGAGGCAGCAGUGAGGAAUAUUGCGCAAUGGGGGCAACCCUGACGCAGCAACGCCGCGUGAGUGAGGAAGGUUUUCGGACCGUAAAGCUCUGUCGAGCGGGAAGAAAUGUAUCAUGGCUAAUAUCCAUGAUACUUGACGGUACCGCUAAAGGAAGACCG
This 490-nucleotide ribosomal RNA is filed under the name uncultured bacterium. RNAcentral's name for it is "bacterial SSU rRNA". It matches the Rfam family "Bacterial small subunit ribosomal RNA", at positions 29 to 494 of the family's 1533-position model. The record is from RNAcentral.